Molecule: long non-coding RNA, 4210 nt
Organism: Poecilia latipinna (sailfin molly)
Lineage: Eukaryota; Metazoa; Chordata; Actinopteri; Cyprinodontiformes; Poeciliidae
Exons: 2
Source: RefSeq, a predicted model, not a curated record
UAUAUUUCAAGUUUUUUCUCUUCACAUUAAAUAUUUGGUUUGCUGUUAAUGAGUGAUAUCUAGCAAAAAGUCUAGGAUCUUUAGGAUUUAAGGCUACAUGCUAAGCUAACCGCGUCCUAGCAUGUUUAAAGUUACUCACAUGACAUUAAACUUGAACCACAACUUAUUCAACCAUGGUCCACUUUCCCAGUAAACUACUUUAGCCUCAUUAAAAGAUAACACAGUGGCAGUCUGGUGGUGUUGUACCUGCAAAAAUAAAUAUUAAUAGUGGUCAUUAAUUUCAAAUUUAGAGAUUGACUGGAGUCAUUAUUUCCAAACCUUGACAGUCUGGGGUGAGCUGGAUAAUUAAUGUGAAUGUUUUGACACAUUCGUACUCAGCAGCUCCAACGGUGCGUAUUAAGCGAGAGGAGACAUAUGAUAAUAUCAGCUCAGUAUAAUCCUCAUAUAUAUGAUAAUUACACCUGGCUUUACAACAUGCGUCGCCUCAUUUUCAUGGUCGCAGCUGUAAAUGAUUCUCAGCACGAUUAAAACUCAUUUCAUGGAGAUAGUUUGAUUUUUUUUUUUCAACACCACACCUGGAAAAACGGCACAAAAACACAGAUAAUAGCUGCUGAAUAUAGUUAAAAUCUCCCUGCAGCUCCUUACCAAGUGCAGCAGAGUUUAAUUAAUUGCUCUAAAUUUUCAUUCAGUGCCCUGUUUUUCAUUUUUCAUUUGCUUUAUUUUCUUGAAGGUUUUUGUUAUUUGAAAUAAUUUCCCAUGUGACAUGUAGCUGUUAAGACAAUUUUAUUUCAAAAUCAUAACUCAUAACCAAGGGAUACCAAGCUGUGUUUGGUUAGGAGUCAACUUUCAGGCUCCCUAAUGAGUCUAAAACCAAUGUUUACUCUUCGUUUAGCUCAUCUUUUUCAUCUUUACUCUUGCUCUGCUGCUGCUAUUUGCUGAAAUAUAUUUUCACCAUUUGAAUAGCUUUCAAAUGGUGGUUCUUGGUUUUCCUAGAACUGAUGUUAUUCCUGAGAGCGAUGAAACUAUCCCAAAUGUUUUGUAAUCCAUCUGCUACAUUUUAUUGCAGUAAUUCUGCAGAAAAGUUCAACUGAAAAAGAGGAGGAUAAAACAAUUCAAGAACCUUCCCAUCCUAAUACUUUAUUAAUUCACUUUUGAUUAAAUCUCACCACACUCUGGCUUUCUCUUUCUUUUUUUUCUUAUGUAAACACUUGGCAGUACAUACGCUCAUGUACAUACUGUUCUACUCAUUCUUUAUUUCCUCUAAAGUUCACUUAAAACUGAAGUCAGAUUCUGUUUGUGCUCAGAAUCAUGGCCAAUAAAACUGAUUCUGAUUCUAAUGACACUUCUAAGACAAAUUAGGAAAUAAAUAAGUCAAAGUUGUAAAGAAAACACAGAGCUGCCACAGCUAACAGGCGGCAACAGAAAAAAAAAGGGGGAGGAGCUGUCAGUUACUGGUUACUAUGGUAACCACCAACUGCCAAACGAAGCAGCGCAACAGGACUUAAAACACCAACAAAUGUCUGAAGAAACAACUUUUUGACUUAACAAAAUGGAUUAAAAUAAAACCUCAAGAAAGGACGGACCCAUGUGUUUUGGUGUUUUGCUAGCUAACCGUUUAAAUUAUUACUAUAUGAUUAAACAGUCAUUGGUAAAAGGACUUUCUAAGUAGAGAUAAAACUUUACAGAUUAGUAUUACUAUGAACCAUUUAAAAUCUACAUUUAGAAAAUAUCUGUUGCUUAGAGAGAGAGAGAGACAUUAUGAUGAAUCAGUGUUGCUACAGCAACAUGCUUUUACUCUGAAAAGUUUCUUUGUUUUUACUUUAUUGCCUUUUGGUUAAUUGUUCUGUAUUCAGAUUCGGGAGCGAUUCCAAUAGUUUGAUUCAUAAUCCAGAUGUUUUCCACAUAUUGAUUGCAUCCAUCAUUUACACACAUUGGGCAUCAUUCCUCAGCACAACUCAGACUUUAUUCUGUUUUAUUUUAAUCAUUUUUUAUGUGAUUUUUAAAAAAACAGUAUUUAUUGAAGUGACCAUAAUUUGGCUUGUGUUGGUAGGAAUGACUCAGUUAUACCCCAAAGCUAUUUCUUAAAAAAAAAAGGUUUGAAAAGGAAAAAUAAAACAACAAAACAGAAUAGAUAACAUCAAAUAAAAUACCAAAAAUUAAUAAAUAUGACCUAAAACUGACCCUAUGUAGAGGGCUAGUAUGAACACACAUUAAAGUAAAAAAUAAAAAUAAUAGAAAAAGAAAUCUAAAUAAAGAUAUUUAUAUAAAUAAUAUUUUAUGUUUAUACUUUGUUAUGUUUAUCUAUGAUAACAGUAAGAAUAGAAAAUUAUAUAAUUUUAAAAAUAAUUAAAUAAAAAUAAAUGCAUUGAUUUUGCCAAUAUUUCUAGACAAAUAUUUUUACUUUAAUUAAAUAAGCAAGAGGCAUCUACUGUUAGUAUGAAACUAACAAACAAUCAUUCUUGUGAAUAUUUUCCAAAUUAUCACAUAAUUGGCCUUAAUUAAAGUAUUAGAUACUUCGAUCCAAUAACUUUUAGAGAAAUCUAUGGAAGAAGAUUAGGACCAAAAAAGAAGAGGAUUCUGACUUUUGAUCUCAGGAGAUUAAAGUCAAAAUUCUGAGAAAAAUGUCAAAAUUAUUAUUUUUUCCAGUGUCCCUAAUCCUCUUCCUUAGAAACCAGAACUCAGCAACAAAUGUAGAGUUAAGAAAACAAACAAAGAAAGUUUGUUUUACAGAAACAACUCCAGGGCAGAAGUGUUUCUGAGCAGCACAGAAAUGUCAUGUUGUUUCACUCAGAGGAGACAGCGGGUCGAUCCUCCUGACUGACAUCUGCGGCUGACAGGUGGGCCGGCUGUAAAUCAUCACAAACUCUCUCUGGUCUGAGAUCAAACUGACCCGCUCGGCCUCGUUUCCUGCCACCCCUCCUUCAGCUGCGGCGGAGAGGAAGAGGAAGAGAAACUCGCUGACUUGUACACAAACUCUGCAUGAAUUAAACAUGGAGACAAUCCCAGGAACUCUGAGAAGAUACACAAACAAGACGGAGAGCGGCGAAAACGAAGGAAGUCAAAAUAAGGGUUUGACACCCGGCCCAUCCUCUGGGUCGUCCAGAACAUUAAAAAAAAAAAAACGAAACCGCAAAUCUCCGCUCUGAGAUCUAGGAGGUCGAAUUUACAGCCUCCGAAUCUGACGAAAACUCUUUAAAAUUCACUACGACGACGCUGCGGUGUCGUAAACCAUUCCCUCAGGUUUCAAACAAACAGACGAAUAAAGCAGAUGGAUCUUAUCAUCACUGCAUCAUGGCGUGUGUCACAGCCGAGGUGAGUAAACUGCGCCCACGCCGCAACCGCUUUAUCAUAAAUAAUCCCAGCAGACACAAAUAUCACUUAUUCAGAAAAAAACAUGUCUGGUCUAGUGAAUUAAAAUCAUUCCUUCAGCAGAAAACAGGUAAAAGGUGAAUUUAAUUACAAGGCAGAAGGUUUGAGUGACCCAGUUCUGAAGAGAAACUCCCUCACAUGCUGGUAUUUUCUAACCAAAUCCUGGCAGGAAGCCUGAAUCAGUGGGAGUUCAGGACAGAAAAAACCCGGCCUCAGCCUACAAAUACAGAAAAAAGUCAACACAUAGGUAAAAUCCACAAGUAUUCUGACCCAUCCGCAAGCAAACCCCCCCCCCCGUCUUCCAGUAGGUGAGCAUCUAAAUCUGUGACGCAAGAGGAGGAUCUGAAAAGUCACAGUUUCCCUGCAGCAUCCUCUGCAAACCCUCCUCCGCCGGCUGGCAGGCUGUUUCCUAGCUACCUGACUCAGACGAGGCUCUGCUUCUCACAUUUACUGCGUUACCUUCAAGAAGCGAAGCGACUGAAAUUAUUUUCCUCAAACGGCAAGAAAAUCUUACAAAAGGACGAUUAUAACUUGUUUUCCCUUUCUGUUAACCUCAUAAGCCUCACAGUUUGUAUUUGAAAUAACAUACCUGAAUCUAAUUUAGUUUUUCUCACCAAUUACAAACCGUAUUUCAAUAGUGGAACAGAAAAUAAUUUGGAUGUUUUUGUGCCUCGCAUUAGAAAUAACCAUAUAUCUCUAUUACUAUACAGAGAUUGAUGCAGCUGAGGUAAACUAAACCAAAUUUACAGAAGUUUUAGUAAAUAAAUAUCCAGUUAUUUUGCCAUUGGGAUAAGUUGCCACCAUCUAAAAAACUGGGGAUUGUAUGUGUUUUUUAUUUAAC